AUUGAACGCUGGCGGCAGGCCUAACACAUGCAAGUCGAGCGGAUGAAGGGAGCUUGCUCCUGGAUUCAGCGGCGGACGGGUGAGUAAUGCCUAGGAAUCUGCCUGGUAGUGGGGGAUAACGUCCGGAAACGGGCGCUAAUACCGCAUACGUCCUGAGGGAGAAAGUGGGGGAUCUUCGGACCUCACGCUAUCAGAUAAGCCUAGGUCGGAUUAGCUAGUUGGUGGGGUAAAGGCCUACCAAGGCGACGAUCCGUAACUGGUCUGAGAGGAUGAUCAGUCACACUGGAACUGAGACACGGUCCAGACUCCUACGGGAGGCAGCAGUGGGGAAUAUUGGACAAUGGGCGAAAGCCUGAUCCAGCCAUGCCGCGUGUGUGAAGAAGGUCUUCGGAUUGUAAAGCACUUUAAGUUGGGAGGAAGGGCAGUAAGUUAAUACCUUGCUGUUCUGACGUUACCAACAGAAUAAGCACCGGCUAACUUCGUG
This 484-nucleotide ribosomal RNA is filed under the name uncultured bacterium. RNAcentral describes it as "partial 16S ribosomal RNA". It matches the Rfam family "Bacterial small subunit ribosomal RNA", at positions 30 to 507 of the family's 1533-position model. The record is from RNAcentral.